ACUCCUACGGGAGGCAGCAGUGGGGAAUCUUAGACAAUGGGGGCAACCCUGAUCUAGCCAUGCCGCGUGAGUGAUGAAGGCCUUAGGGUCGUAAAGCUCUUUCGCCUGUGAUGAUAAUGACAGUAGCAGGUAAAGAAACCCCGGCUAACUCCGUGCCAGCAGCCGCGGUAAUACGGAGGGGGUUAGCGUUGUUCGGAAUUACUGGGCGUAAAGCGCGCGUAGGCGGAUUAGAAAGUUGGGGGUGAAAUCCCGGGGCUCAACCUCGGAACUGCCUCCAAAACUGCUAGUCUAGAGUUCGAGAGAGGUGAGUGGAAUUCCGAGUGUAGAGGUGAAAUUCGUAGAUAUUCGGAGGAACACCAGUGGCGAAGGCGGCUCACUGGCUCGAUACUGACGCUGAGGUGCGAAAGUGUGGGGAGCAAACAGGAUUAGAUACCCUGGUAGUCCACACCGUAAACGAUGAAUGCCAGUCGUCGGGUAGUAUACUAUUCGGUGACACACCUAACGGAUUAAGCAUUCCGCCUGGGGAGUACGGUCGCAAGAUUAAAACUCAAAGGAAUUGACGGGGGCCCGCAC
Molecule: ribosomal RNA, 573 nt
Filed under: uncultured marine bacterium
Lineage: Bacteria
Description: bacterial SSU rRNA
Rfam family: Bacterial small subunit ribosomal RNA
Source: RNAcentral